UACGUAGGGCGCAAGCGUUGUCCGGAAUUAUUGGGCGUAAAGAGCUCGUAGGCGGUCUGUCGCGUCUGUUGUGAAAACUCGAGGCUCAACCUCGGGCUUGCAGUGGAUACGGGCAGACUAGAGUGCGGUAGGGGAGACUGGAAUUCCUGGUGUAGCGGUGAAAUGCGCAGAUAUCAGGAGGAACACCGGUGGCGAAGGCGGGUCUCUGGGCCGAUACUGACGCUGAGGAGCGAAAGCGUGGGGAGCGAACAGG
Molecule: ribosomal RNA, 253 nt
Filed under: uncultured bacterium
Lineage: Bacteria
Description: partial 16S ribosomal RNA
Rfam family: Bacterial small subunit ribosomal RNA
Source: RNAcentral